UUGUUACUUUGGCAGAUUAGUGCAUUAAAUUUAGAAUUUAAUUAUGUAUUUUAAGGUACAGGUAAUAC
RNAcentral lists this transfer RNA (68 nucleotides) under Enochrus (Methydrus) sp. IBE-AB55. RNAcentral's name for it is "tRNA-Leu". The record is from RNAcentral. Lineage: Eukaryota; Metazoa; Arthropoda; Insecta; Coleoptera; Hydrophilidae.